This 1540-nucleotide ribosomal RNA is filed under the name Enterococcus faecium. RNAcentral describes it as "bacterial SSU rRNA". It matches the Rfam family "Bacterial small subunit ribosomal RNA". Lineage: Bacteria; Bacillati; Bacillota; Bacilli; Lactobacillales; Enterococcaceae. The record is from RNAcentral.
ACGAACGCUGGCGGCGUGCCUAAUACAUGCAAGUCGAACGCUUCUUUUUCCACCGGAGCUUGCUCCACCGGAAAAAGAAGAGUGGCGAACGGGUGAGUAACACGUGGGUAACCUGCCCAUCAGAAGGGGAUAACACUUGGAAACAGGUGCUAAUACCGUAUAACAAUCGAAACCGCAUGGUUUUGAUUUGAAAGGCGCUUUCGGGUGUCGCUGAUGGAUGGACCCGCGGUGCAUUAGCUAGUUGGUGAGGUAACGGCUCACCAAGGCCACGAUGCAUAGCCGACCUGAGAGGGUGAUCGGCCACAUUGGGACUGAGACACGGCCCAAACUCCUACGGGAGGCAGCAGUAGGGAAUCUUCGGCAAUGGACGAAAGUCUGACCGAGCAACGCCGCGUGAGUGAAGAAGGUUUUCGGAUCGUAAAACUCUGUUGUUAGAGAAGAACAAGGAUGAGAGUAACUGUUCAUCCCUUGACGGUAUCUAACCAGAAAGCCACGGCUAACUACGUGCCAGCAGCCGCGGUAAUACGUAGGUGGCAAGCGUUGUCCGGAUUUAUUGGGCGUAAAGCGAGCGCAGGCGGUUUCUUAAGUCUGAUGUGAAAGCCCCCGGCUCAACCGGGGAGGGUCAUUGGAAACUGGGAGACUUGAGUGCAGAAGAGGAGAGUGGAAUUCCAUGUGUAGCGGUGAAAUGCGUAGAUAUAUGGAGGAACACCAGUGGCGAAGGCGGCUCUCUGGUCUGUAACUGACGCUGAGGCUCGAAAGCGUGGGGAGCAAACAGGAUUAGAUACCCUGGUAGUCCACGCCGUAAACGAUGAGUGCUAAGUGUUGGAGGGUUUCCGCCCUUCAGUGCUGCAGCUAACGCAUUAAGCACUCCGCCUGGGGAGUACGACCGCAAGGUUGAAACUCAAAGGAAUUGACGGGGGCCCGCACAAGCGGUGGAGCAUGUGGUUUAAUUCGAAGCAACGCGAAGAACCUUACCAGGUCUUGACAUCCUUUGACCACUCUAGAGAUAGAGCUUCCCCUUCGGGGGCAAAGUGACAGGUGGUGCAUGGUUGUCGUCAGCUCGUGUCGUGAGAUGUUGGGUUAAGUCCCGCAACGAGCGCAACCCUUAUUGUUAGUUGCCAUCAUUCAGUUGGGCACUCUAGCAAGACUGCCGGUGACAAACCGGAGGAAGGUGGGGAUGACGUCAAAUCAUCAUGCCCCUUAUGACCUGGGCUACACACGUGCUACAAUGGGAAGUACAACGAGUCGCGAAGUCGCGAGGCUAAGCUAAUCUCUUAAAGCUUCUCUCAGUUCGGAUUGCAGGCUGCAACUCGCCUGCAUGAAGCCGGAAUCGCUAGUAAUCGCGGAUCAGCACGCCGCGGUGAAUACGUUCCCGGGCCUUGUACACACCGCCCGUCACACCACGAGAGUUUGUAACACCCGAAGUCGGUGAGGUAACCUUUUGGAGCCAGCCGCCUAAGGUGGGAUAGAUGAUUGGGGUGAAGUCGUAACAAGGUAGCCGUAUCGGAAGGUGCGGCUGGAUCACCUCCUUUCUAAGGAA